Molecule: ribosomal RNA, 253 nt
Filed under: uncultured bacterium
Lineage: Bacteria
Description: partial 16S ribosomal RNA
Rfam family: Bacterial small subunit ribosomal RNA
Source: RNAcentral
UACGAAGGGUGCAAGCGUUAAUCGGAAUUACUGGGCGUAAAGCGUGCGCAGGCGGUUUUGUAAGUCUGUCGUGAAAUCCCCGGGCUCAACCUGGGAAUUGCGAUGGAGACUGCAAGGCUGGAGUCUGGCAGAGGGGGGUAGAAUUCCACGUGUAGCAGUGAAAUGCGUAGAGAUGUGGAGGAACACCGAUGGCGAAGGCAGCCCCCUGGGUCAAGACUGACGCUCAUGCACGAAAGCGUGGGGAGCAAACAGG